GAUGAACGCUAGCUACAGGCUUAACACAUGCAAGUCGAGGGGAAACGACAUUGGAAGCUUGCUUCCUUUGGGCGUCGACCGGCGCACGGGUGAGUAACGCGUAUCCAACCUUCCGCAAGUAAGGGAUAACCCGUAGAAAUUGGUCUAAUACCGUAUGAGGUCAUACGAUGGCAUCAGAAUAUGACGAAAGGUUUAGCGGUGAAGGAUGGGGAUGCGUCUGAUUAGCUUGUUGGUGAGGUAACGGCUCACCAAGGCGACGAUCAGUAGGGGUUCUGAGAGGAAGGUCCCCCACAUUGGAACUGAGACACGGUCCAAACUCCUACGGGAGGCAGCAGUGAGGAAUAUUGGUCAAUGGGCGAGAGCCUGAACCAGCCAAGUAGCGUGCAGGAUGACGGCCCUAUGGGUUGUAAACUGCUUUUAUAAGGGAAUAAAGUGGGUCACGUGUGACUUUUUGCAUGUACCUUAUGAAUAAGGACCGGCUAAUUCCGUG
Molecule: ribosomal RNA, 490 nt
Filed under: uncultured bacterium
Lineage: Bacteria
Description: bacterial SSU rRNA
Rfam family: Bacterial small subunit ribosomal RNA
Source: RNAcentral